RNA transcript from Asparagus officinalis (garden asparagus), 3660 nucleotides. RefSeq lists it as uncharacterized. The record is from RefSeq and is a predicted model, not a curated record. The transcript has 9 exons. Lineage: Eukaryota; Viridiplantae; Streptophyta; Magnoliopsida; Asparagales; Asparagaceae.
GGAUUCGAGCAGGAGAGCGGUCGAGGCGUACUGGAGAUCUAAGAUGGUCGAUGGAGUCACAUCGGACGAGGUCAAGGUCGCUCCUAUUUACAAACUGGAGGAGAUCUUCGAUCUGCUGAGGACUUCUCAUGUCAGUAUCGUCAAGUAGGUUUCCGAUUACAUCCUCAAGCAGAUUGAUCACAAGAGCCCCGUUGUCAAGCAAAAGAUGGUCGAUGGAGUCACAUCGGACGAGGUCAAAUUCGCUCCUGUUUACAAACUGGAGGAGAUCUGCGAUCUGCUGAGGACUUCUCAUGUCAGUAUCGUCAAGGAGGUUUCCGAUUACAUCCUCAAGCGGAUUGAUCACAAGAACCCCGUUGUCAAGCAAAAGGUUGUGAUUUUGGUUGUGAUUAACCUCAAAGCCUCAUGCUCUACCUUCUCCUUCUUUUUCUCAUUAAGGCGUUAAAUGGCGACUUAGAGAAUCAUCAUCAAGUUCUCUGCAAGAGGGAAAAAAGGCUGAACCACAUGAUUUAAAAGAUGAUCCUUUAUUUUUGGAGGAAGAGCUGCGGAAUGUUCAUAUUGGAGUUGGAUGUGAUACGUGCGGGCUAAUUUGAUAAAUUGAAAAUGGUUGACAUGGGUGAAAUAUCAUGGAGUGAAGAGGAGGAGCAAAUUGAUAUGGAGAGUUGUUUCUCAUAGUCAGGGAGUGUCACUGAUGGACCAGUCACUAACGCGAUCGAUGGAGAUAAUGGGGUGCUUAAGCUGAAUGAGGAAGAUGAUGAGUAUAUCAUACCGAAGCAUUGGUUCUAUUUGAGCAUUGGCACUCUUUCACUACAGUGUAUGGUUGUUGAUGUUUAUCGGAGUCUUCAUUCUUCUCCAAUGGAAAAAGAUAAGAGGGGGGGAUGCAAAUGUUGUUCAUUCAUCAUAUGGAGCAUCGAAGGAUGAGGUUGAUCGAAUAAUGAAGGAUGGAUUUCGUGUGUGUGUGUGUGUGGAUUGCCUGAGAAUGCUGGCCUCUAUGGCUUUGGUUUGCAUCUUUGUCCAGAGCUUCCCGCUCGCAAAAGCCUUAUUUCCGCACCAAUUAGUGAAGAUGGACUGAAGCAUAUGGUGAUUUGUCAUGUAAUCUUGGGAAGCACAAAGAUGAUACUUCUCGGCUCCUGACAAUCAGGUCCAAGUUCUGGAGAUUUUGAUUCUGGUGUAGAUAACCAGAAAGCUCCUUCAAAGUAUAUUGUCUGCUAUCCAGAUGUCAAGACACAUGUACUGCCUCUAUAUGCGGUUACUGUAAAAAUGGAUCUGAAUUUAGGAGGACCUGUAUAAAGACAAAGCCCAUAGGAAGAUGUCAGUCUGGCAGCACAAUGAUAUUCAAUAAUCAUCACGUGUUGCAUCCAAAAAGUGUAAACGCUUAAUUUUUCAUUUAUGAUUAAUAACAGAUCACAAAGAACAUAACUUCUUUGUUGAUACUCUUCUGGGUGGACUAUAUCAUGAAUCCUUGAUUCCUUCAUUCAGCUCAGAUAAGGGACAUUUGCUCAGUUAAAUUAACAACUACAAUAUCCAGUCCCUGGUUUGUCUAGAUCUAACCCUACUCCUCUCUUCAUUACCCUUACCUACUUAACUUACUGGUCUCCACAUACAUGCCCGAACGUUACACCCUUGUUAUGUUUUGCAUUUGCAUUUAGAUGCUUUGUUGUAUUUUGAAUUACAAAGAAAACUAAAGAGGAACAGCUAUCAGAAUAUGGCACAACAUAUUAGGUUCAAACAGGAGAUAACCUAAAUUAAUUCUGAUAGGAUUUUUCAUAGUGGUGUCAAUGUGCAUCCACCACAAACAGUCAUCCCAGAGACUUAAGAGUUGUUUGGCAAUGGGAUAAAUUAGGGGGUUAAGAAGAGGUACCCCUUCUUUAACUUGUCAAACAUAAAAAUGUGUAAAAUUAAGUUAAAUUAUCUUAUCCAUCUUAAUUGUCACAUGCAAAAAUAAUAAAAAGGUUAACAUAAACUGUCCAUACAGGUUAAAAGAAGUUACCUCUCAAUGAGGGGUUUACUAAUCCACGUCUUUAGACGGAAAUAAUAAAAAGGUUCAUUUUUUUCCAACCAUCAAGCUCCAUGCCCGUGCUCUUCAAAUUUCUGUUCUAAACAAAAAGCUCUUAUGAUAGAGUACACAUGAAGAAAAUUUAUAACAAAGAUACUGGUAUUUUAGUUUUGCAGAAACUUGAAGAGAUUUUUAAGCUUGUGCACAGGUAUCAGGCUCUUUAAUUUUUUUUGUUUUGUUUCUUGUCACUUGGUUAACGUCACUCAUAGAUGGCUGAUAUUAGAUUUGAUUAUCAGUCAUAUGGAAGAGUUAGUAAAUUCGUUGUUGGGCUUCAGUAAAUUUUAUGUUCCCAGCUCUGAGCAUUGCACUAUUUACAGUUUUAUUUUGUUUUGUGGAUUAGGGGGAGGGUGGGUAGGGGGGUAGGGCACAAAUGAUUAUUUGAGGAGGAAUCAGACUGCAGUUUAUUGUUAGUUUGGUUUAUGGUGAUAAUUUGGCUAUAAGUUUGAGUUCAAACGUAACGGAGCAAUAGAGCAUGUUUCUCUGAUUUCAAAGACACGGAUUACUUUUUAGCUAAAGGAUGUGCGUUUAAUUUGCUUUAUUUAUGCAUUUAUCUUCAUCAAUGUUUCAGCAGAGGCCAGAGAUAUAUUUACACGGAAUCCCAUGACAAGCAUGUUUAUAUUUAUGAUGUGGUAUGUACUUCUGUACUUUGUUAAAUUAAUGAAAGGAAGUGAGAGUUAUGUUAAUAUUUUGAAGAUAAAUUAUAUAUUUAAUUUUGUACUACAAAUUCUUACAUAUAAUGUGAGGAACACAAGGUGCUUUAAUUGUAGCUUCAACACUUCAGAUUAUCGUAGGCUUCAGUGGCCUUUGGCUUAAUGUCACUAGGUUACUUAUGAAUCUCUAGAAUGCAUUCCAUUUAUACCAACCUACAAUUUUUCUGUUUAUAGAUAUUUAUUUAUUUGUUUAUUUUUGUACAAUUCAGAUUUAUGAGUCCACUAUCAACAGUUCCUUUACUUGCCUUAUCCGGAUUUGGUCUCUAUGAGUUAGGCUUUCUCAGCGUUGCCAAGUGUAUUGAGAUUGGGCUUCCACAGAUAAUUCUGUUGAUAAUCUUUUCCCAGAUAUUGAAAUGUGGUGACUGGAAACCAAGUUGCAAAACUCUCCUUUCAUAACGCUGUGAUUAGAGUCUGUAGCUAGCAUUCAUACUAACCUAUGCUUGUGAGCUCUUCUUGGAAUUGUCAAAUUGCUAGAUGGUAAUUCUAGGGCUCUGAUGCAGUUCAUUCCGUUGUUGACAAUAAACGCCAUCGAAUGCAACAACCUGAGCAAAGGACAAUUCCCUUAUGCUUUGCGCUCUUCCUCGAAUUUCUGUUUGCUAUUUAUAAUUUCUCAUGGCAUUUAUAAUUUCUCAUGACAUGAUACAAAUUCUUUGAUAAGAAGAGACACUGACAAAGGGGAUCAACAUAAUGUAUUGUGAGAUCUUUAUCAUCUAGACUACCCUAGCUGAUGAGAGCUUAAUUCCUUUGUAAAGAAUAUUUAAGUAUGAUUAUAGUGUAAAUAUUUGUAUGCAUCUUCUCGGUGCAGUCAGCUUACAUUGCCAUGUAAAAAGACUGAAACAAUGUAAGAAACCUGAGAAUCCAAAUCAUAGUUUUUUGCUUUCUGUUAUUCUAUUGAAA